RNAcentral lists this ribosomal RNA (483 nucleotides) under uncultured bacterium. RNAcentral describes it as "bacterial SSU rRNA". It matches the Rfam family "Bacterial small subunit ribosomal RNA", at positions 29 to 487 of the family's 1533-position model. The record is from RNAcentral.
AACUAACGCUGGCGGCGUGCCUAACACAUGCAAGUCGUACGAGAAAGCCGGCUUCGGCUGGUGAGUAAAGUGGCGCACGGGUGAGUAACGCGUGGAUAAUCUGCCCUUAAGUGUGGAAUAACGUACCGAAAGGUGCGCUAAUACCGCAUAAUGCCCGGCAACACAAGUUGUCCGGCCAAAGAAGGCCUCUGUUUACAAGCUUUCGCUUCAGGAUGAGUCCGCGUACCAUUAGCUUGUUGGUGGGGUAAUGGCCUACCAAGGCUGCGAUGGUUAGCUGGUCUGAGAGGAUGAUCAGCCACACUGGAACUGAGACACGGUCCAGACUCCUACGGGAGGCAGCAGUGAGGAAUAUUGCGCAAUGGGGGCAACCCUGACGCAGCAACGCCGCGUGAGUGAGGAAGGUUUUCGGACUGUAAAGCUCUGUCGAGCGGGAAGAAGUGUACCAUGGCUAAUAUCCAUGAUAUUUGACGGUACCGCUAGAGG